This 253-nucleotide ribosomal RNA is filed under the name uncultured bacterium. Its description in RNAcentral is "partial 16S ribosomal RNA". It matches the Rfam family "Bacterial small subunit ribosomal RNA", at positions 524 to 776 of the family's 1533-position model. The record is from RNAcentral.
UACAGAGGGGGCAAGCGUUGUUCGGAAUUACUGGGCGUAAAGGGCGCGUAGGCGGCCCGCUAAGUCGAACGUGAAAUCCCCGAGCUCAACUCGGGAACUGCGCCCGAUACUGGCGGGCUUGAAUCCGGGAGAGGGAUGCGGAAUUCCAGGUGUAGCGGUGAAAUGCGUAGAUAUCUGGAGGAACACCGGUGGCGAAGGCGGCAUCCUGGACCGGCAUUGACGCUGAGGCGCGAAAGCUAGGGGAGCAAACGGG